This 23-nucleotide microRNA is filed under the name Human alphaherpesvirus 2. RNAcentral describes it as "hsv2-miR-H5". Its record names the gene hsv2-miR-H5. Lineage: Duplodnaviria; Heunggongvirae; Peploviricota; Herviviricetes; Herpesvirales; Orthoherpesviridae. The record is from miRBase by way of RNAcentral.
GGGGGGGCUCGGGCCACCUGACC